Molecule: long non-coding RNA, 239 nt
Organism: Cololabis saira (Pacific saury)
Lineage: Eukaryota; Metazoa; Chordata; Actinopteri; Beloniformes; Belonidae
Exons: 3
Source: RefSeq, a predicted model, not a curated record
UGAUUCAUGUCAGCGCUACCGCUAUAUAAUGAUGGAAUUAUGUGAUUUUGAAACAAUUGAAGACUGGAUAAACAAGAGGAAGGACCUAAAGACUGACAGUAUUGAAAAUAAAAGUAGUAGAUCCACCGAGUCAAGAUUUAUAUUGCAGUUUGAUGUUCCUGAAAUACUUGCCAAAGGAGGCUUUGGUCAUGUUUUCAGAGCAGGAAAAAACCUUUCAGCCAAGGAUUAUGCUGUUAAGA